UAUUGUAUAUGACUUGAGAUGUUUGCCUUGCCUUAAUGUUUGUUGUCCUCUAUAACAAUUACAUAUAUAUGACAGGCUUCUUUCAAUUUCAGUCAACCAAAUCCACUCACAAGGCUUUGAUCAGCCAAAGGCUAUAUUAAAAGACACUUGUUCAAGGUGCCAUUCAGUAGGACUGAACCCAGCACCAUGUGGUUUGGAAGCAAACUUCUUACUACAAAGGUACACCUGUGCCAAGAAGAUAAAAUUCCAAUAGUUUCUAAUUUAGGUAAAAGUCCACAGCAACUUUGAUAUGAACAAUUAUUCAAUAACAUCAACCCCCAGUACUUGACAGCUACUUUACUUCAUUGAUUACAGUGGGACGGAAGGCAAAGUUGACAUUAGUAAGGCUUGAACUUAAAACAACAUAAAGAGCCAGAAAAAAUAACUGAAAGAAUUUUAUCAAUGCUGUAACGAUUGCACCAACAUGCUGUCCUACAUUAUACGUACAUAAAUACAUACGCAUAUAUAUAUAUACAUAUAUUUAUACAUACAUACACACACAUAUAUAUGUAUAUAUAUACGUACAUACAUAUAUAUACAUACACAUACAUACAUAUAUAUAAAUAUAUGCAUACAUAUGUAUACAUACAUAUAUACACAUACAAACAAAAAUAACAAGGUGCAGGCAUGGCUGUGCGGUAAGAAGCUUGCUUCCCAAUGACAUAAUUCCAGGUUCGGUCCCACUGCAUGGCACUGGGUGUGUGUGUCUUUUACUAUAGUCUCAGGUUGACCAAAGCCUUGUGAGUGGAUUUGGUAGACAGAAACUGAAAGAAGUCAUCAUCAUCAUCAUCAUCAUCAUUGUUUAACUUCCGCUUCCCAUGCUGGCAUGUGUUGAAAGACUUGACUGAGGACUGGCAAGCCAGUAGACUGCACCAGGCUCCAAUCUGAUCUGGCAAGGUUUCUACAGCUGGAUGCCCUUCCUAAUGCCAACCACUCUGAGAGUGUAAUGGGUGCUUUUUAAGUGUCACUGACAUGGGAGUCAGUCAGGCAAGACUAGCAUCGACCAUGUUCAGAUGAUGCUGUUGUAUGUAUAUUUAGAUAGCUGACCACUACAUUUAUAUUUUUUUCUCCUUGUUUUCUCUUUAUUUCCUUCUGUGUUCCUUUCAGUUGAAGAGCGUAGCUCGAAACGUUAAAGACUUUCUCUAUUCUUGAUCAUUAAACUAAUACAUCCAUUUGUUGUUUACACCA
Octopus bimaculoides (California two-spot octopus) is the source of this 1227-nucleotide long non-coding RNA. The record is from RefSeq and is a predicted model, not a curated record. NCBI's taxonomy places the organism in Eukaryota, Metazoa, Mollusca, Cephalopoda, Octopoda, Octopodidae.